GACGAACGCUGGCGGCGUGCCUAAUACAUGCAAGUUGAGCGCUGAAGGAUGGUACUUGUACCAACUGGAUGAGCAGCGAACGGGUGAGUAACGCGUGGGGAAUCUGCCUUUGAGCGGGGGACAACAUUUGGAGACGAAUGCUAAUACCGCAUAAAAACUUUAAACACAAGUUUUAAGUUUGAAAGAUGCAAUUGCAUCACUCAAAAAUGAUCCCGCGUUGUAUUAGCUAGUUGGUGAGGUAAAGGCUCACCAAGGCGAUGAUACAUAGCCGACCUGAGAGGGGGGUCGGCCAAAUUGGGACUGGGAACAGGCUCAAGACUCCUAGGGAGGGAGCAGGAGGGGAAUAUCGGACAAUGAGGGAAGGCUGACCGAGCAACGCCGGGUGAGUGAAGGAGGGUUUCGGAUCGUAAAACUCUGUUGGUAGGGAAGAACGUUGGUGAGAGUGGAACGCUCAUCAAGUGACGGUAACUACCCAGAAAGGAACGGCUAACUACGUG
This 497-nucleotide ribosomal RNA is filed under the name uncultured bacterium. Its description in RNAcentral is "partial 16S ribosomal RNA". It matches the Rfam family "Bacterial small subunit ribosomal RNA", at positions 28 to 507 of the family's 1533-position model. The record is from RNAcentral.